UAUGGCGGCAGGGAAUGGAAAACUCAGUGCAAACAGAGAGAAGUCUGCAGUGGUUCUAAGAGCUGCAUCCCAUCCACUUUGUCCAGAGGAAACCAUGGGAAAGCCAGGAGCCCAGGCAACGUCUUACCUUUCACUGGCCCACCUGGGCCAGGUGCCCAUUCUUGAAUCAGUCAAGGGGCCCAGUGCAGGGAGAAAGUCACUGCAUCUUCUUUGGCAAAAGAGAAACAAUCAUAAUCCUCUUCUUCCAACCUUGCCACAUUGUCACAAGGAUGGAAACAGGUCACCAGAGGCAAA
This is a long non-coding RNA of Cercocebus atys (sooty mangabey), 294 nucleotides long. RefSeq lists it as uncharacterized. The record is from RefSeq and is a predicted model, not a curated record. Lineage: Eukaryota; Metazoa; Chordata; Mammalia; Primates; Cercopithecidae. The transcript is spliced from 3 exons.